Molecule: ribosomal RNA, 460 nt
Filed under: uncultured bacterium
Lineage: Bacteria
Description: bacterial SSU rRNA
Rfam family: Bacterial small subunit ribosomal RNA
Source: RNAcentral
UACGGAAGGCAGCAGUGGGGAAUAUUGCACAAUGGGCGAAAGCCUGAUGCAGCUAUGCCGCGUGUAUGAAGAAGGCCUUAGGGUUGUAAAGUACUUUCAUCGGGGAGGAAAAACAAAACUAAUAAUUUUAUUUCUUGACGUUACCCGAAAAAGAAGCACCGGCUAACUCCGUGCCAGCAGCCGCGGUAAUACGGAGGGUGCUAGCGUUAAUCAGAAUUACUGGGCGUAAAAGAGCACGUAGGUGGUUUUUUUAAAGUCAGAUGUGAAAUCCCUGGGCUUAACCUAGGAACUGCAUUUUGAAACUGAAAUACUAGAGUAUCGUAGAGGGAGGUAGAAUUCUAGGUGUAGCGGUGAAAUGCGUAGAUAUCUGGAGGAAUACCUGUGGCGAAAGCGGCCUCCUAAACGAAUACUGACACUGAGGUGCGAAAGCGUGGGGAGCAAACAGGGAUUAGAUACCCUA